AUAAAAUAUUUUUAGUAGCAUUAUUAUUAAUUCCUCAGGCGACUUUGUGCUCAAUUUUAAAAGAGGUUCUCCUGGUUUUGGAAAAUCUUAUCUGAUUCAGGAGCAAAUCAUCGGUUACACUCCCCUAUCACCAGUGAUUCCUUGUUUUUAGCUGACACUCUGAAAAAGGUAUUGUGUGUAGGGCAAGAACAUUAAAGAUAAAGGGAAACUAUAAACAGAAGAAGUUAUUAACAAAAAUAGAUUUACAGAGGUCAACAAGUCUAAAUGGUCAGACAUCUUGAUUUUCAUGGUCAUUAUUCAACAGAUCAAUACUGAACAGAAAACUUAAAGUUGAUAUUUUUCUCCAUAGUGCGACUUUUUUUAUGAAUUUGAAAUGGAACAUGUUUUUUCCUUCAUUUAUUAGAAAGAGGAAAUUUCAACAUAAUGACUAAACAAAAAGAUCGAGUCAUAUCAUCACAAUCAUAGUCUAGAUGCACAAGAACUUGAUCACGGAAAUGCAACAAUGUACGGAAUUAUCAAUUGGAAGAAGGACUGAAUGAAAAAAAUUUUAGUUUGUUGUUGUCCAAAUAAACUUGCUUCUCAUUUGAAUUGCUCCAUCCAAUAAAGAUGUAUAGAGGAAGAUCUUUGAAGAACAGAUUAAAAAAAUGUUUUGUCUAAGAAUUGCAGGAAUAUUCUGGUGGAUGAAAUAGUUUUACUGUUUAUUGACUUAAUUCUUAUAUAGCAUGUAUAGUGGACUGAAUAAUUGUACAUAGCAAGCAAUGAAAAAAGAAAACUACAACUUUAACAGAAAAAGUGUUUGUAUUAUAAAUUUGCAAAUAUACCCAUAAUAUUAUGUAUAAGGUAUAUAAUUCAAAUUGUUUGCAUAUUCAUGUAUUGCAAUGAAACUAUACAUGCUAUAACAA
Long non-coding RNA from Mytilus trossulus (common blue mussel), 902 nucleotides. RefSeq lists it as uncharacterized. The transcript is spliced from 3 exons. NCBI's taxonomy places the organism in Eukaryota, Metazoa, Mollusca, Bivalvia, Mytilida, Mytilidae. The record is from RefSeq and is a predicted model, not a curated record.